Trachemys scripta elegans is the source of this 445-nucleotide long non-coding RNA. RefSeq lists it as uncharacterized. NCBI's taxonomy places the organism in Eukaryota, Metazoa, Chordata, Testudines, Emydidae. The transcript has 3 exons. The record is from RefSeq and is a predicted model, not a curated record.
CACUGGCUGCCUGCAGUGCUGGCAAGACCUGAAGAGGCCGCAGAGGGAAAACUUUUACUUCUACCAGUUCCUCUCUCCUGCUAAUGGGAAGCUUGAAAUAACUGACCUGAAGGUGGUAGGAGGCAAGUACCGAGAGUCCACAGAACGAAUGGAGAUCUGAAAACUUGCCUCAAAUAAUUUUAAAAGAUUUUCCUAGCAACAUGAAUAAGUGAGAGGAAAAAAGAAUACAUUAGAGCCUGUGAAAAUCAUAAUACGCAUCUUACCACAUUCUGGAUCGUGGUGGUGGCUGCAUUCUGUGCAAUGGCAUUUUGUAGAAAGACCAGCAGCACAGCCAAGUUUGCACACUUCAUCUUCUCAGCAAACAGGAGCACAUAGACAACCUGGGCCACAUCAUCUUCCUAACCCUGCUUCUAAACUCAGAUGGGGUGAAAGCAGCUCAAGGUAG